UAUAGAGGCCCAUCAUCAAAUACCUUUUUAUGCUUUAUAAUUUACCCAACUUAACAUUAGGUUUAUUGGGCCCAACCCAAUACUAAUAUGAUUUUAAAAAAUAAAAAUAAAAAAAACAAUUUUCGUUAAAGCAUAUGGGCACAGUUUUCGAGCUCGAACAGGGUACGUGAAUUCUCAGAGACGCCCCUGCAUAUAUCAUGUUGAAUCAUGGCCAUCAUCACAAAAUGACAGAUACAGAGUGGUUAAGCAGAAGUAGUGAUUCUGUGUAGGAGGUCUUCAUGAUAUGCGGAUCAAAGAAACCAGACACUCGAAGAUAAUUGCUGUGCUCUGAGUAGGAGUCAUACACUUCAAGUGUUGUUACCGGAAAAUUACCAGGCCUCAUACAUGUGUGCUCUCUUAUCAUUUGACUAUUCUUCAUAAAUCUAAUUAUUCUAUCACUUUCUCUCUUAAAGCUGACGGUCGUAAAUCUGGUCAUUGGAUCACCAGUUUUUAUCAUGGUCCAUACAUCACAAACCACGGCAGCUUCUUUGUAAAUAAGCACAGAAAGAGAACCUUUAAAGUUAGAGAUGGAAAGAUUUGUGGCAUGUGCUAAACUAUCUGGAAGCUCUACCUCGCCGAAUUCUUCGCUUGUCAAAUCAAAUGAAAUAAUCCAACGGGGAAGAUUAUCAAAAGCAAUCCAAUGAAUAACCCCAUCUAUAACCACCGGCUUACAUGACAAAUGCAUUGAAUUAAGAGGCCAACGAAGAUUCACCGUUAUACUUCUCCAAGCCCCUGAGCUUAAUGUAAAAACCACAGCCUUCGAAUCGAUUCUGUUACCGCUUUUGAUCGCAACAAUCUUAGGGUCACUAGUUUUAGGACAGACCCCAAAACCAAUGACAACAAACUCAUACGGCAUCACUAUACCAACAGAUUUCCUAAUUGAUGGGUUCCAAAGAACAGCUAUCAUCGUUAUCAGAAAUUGAAACAUAUUUUUCCUUAGAGUCUACUAUGUACUUCACCAGUAGAUGUUGCGGCUGAGCCGGGUUGACGAUGUGAUCAGCGAUAAACUCAGGGCUAUCGAUCAAAGACUUCCAUUGUUUUGAAACUGAUCUGAACCGAAUCAGUGAUUUGACAGGAAGAACCCUUUUGAU
RNAcentral lists this long non-coding RNA (1130 nucleotides) under Helianthus annuus (common sunflower). RNAcentral's name for it is "sRNA HanXRQr2_Chr07g0279381". Lineage: Eukaryota; Viridiplantae; Streptophyta; Magnoliopsida; Asterales; Asteraceae. The record is from RNAcentral.